UUAAUUGAAACCAAAUAGAGGUAUAUCACUGUUAAUGAUAUUAUUGAAUAAAAAAUUCCAAUUAAU
This 66-nucleotide transfer RNA is filed under the name Perula sp. 1 HFZ-2022c. Its description in RNAcentral is "tRNA-Asn". The record is from RNAcentral. Lineage: Eukaryota; Metazoa; Arthropoda; Insecta; Lepidoptera; Pyralidae.